This is a long non-coding RNA of Ruditapes philippinarum (Manila clam), 582 nucleotides long. RefSeq lists it as uncharacterized. The transcript is spliced from 3 exons. NCBI's taxonomy places the organism in Eukaryota, Metazoa, Mollusca, Bivalvia, Venerida, Veneridae. The record is from RefSeq and is a predicted model, not a curated record.
AAAUAUUAUCUUUCACAAGGGGAAAUAAGUGUUAAGCUAUUUGUUUUGUUUGCUAUCUUUCAGGACAUAGACUUUUAAGAUAAGGCUGCAGUUACAGAUUGGUAGAUGUGCAUCAAUACACCCUCGACUAGUGACAUAUUUCACAAUGAAUGGCCCUAUAUAAAUAUGUAGACAGUUAUAAUAACGGCUUUAUCUGCGAUGGUGACGCUUCGAUAGGUACCUUAGCACAGGAUAAAAAAGUGCAUUAAACUGUAGGAAAGACCAUAACUAAGUCCUGAAAGAUAACUACAGAGUGAGUGGAGAAUCAUUUAUCUGAUACCAGUGUUGUGACUUUGAGAAGGCAGCAAAUUAGCAAGAGUUUUCGCCUUGCAGAUCUUUAAAUCUUGUUUCAAAAGGUAAAGAUUAAUAAAUUUAUAUCAAUAUCAAUACAAUUGUCAGUAUUAUUUAAGAAAAUUGGAAGGGGCAUCUGUGUCCAUGUGGUUAAGGUGGAUGACUCCAAACCACUUGUCUCUCACUGCUGUAGGUUCUAGAUGUGCUAGUGUCUUUGGAUUCUUUCAUGUGAGAAAGCUAUCCAGCUAGCUU